GACAGAGGGGGCAAGCGUUGUCCGGAGUUACUGGGCGUAAAGGGCGCGGAGGCGGUCUGCGGCGUCGGCGCUGCAAGCGCCCCGCUUAACGGGGCGAGGCGUGCCGAUACGCGCGGACUUGAGGCGAGCAGAGGGUGGUGGAAUUCCGGGUGGAGCGGUGCAAUGCGUAGAGAUGCGGAGGAACGCCAGUGGGGAAGCCGGCCACCUGGGCUCGUCCUGACGCUGCGGCGCUACAGCGUGGGGAGCAAGCCGG
This 253-nucleotide ribosomal RNA is filed under the name uncultured bacterium. RNAcentral's name for it is "partial 16S ribosomal RNA". It matches the Rfam family "Bacterial small subunit ribosomal RNA", at positions 524 to 776 of the family's 1533-position model. The record is from RNAcentral.